CCAGACGGCCGGGCAGCCGCUGGCAGGUUGGUAACGACCUGUUGGAGGAAAGUCCGGGCUCCAGGGAAACAGGGCGACGGCUAAUGGCCGCCCGGCGCGAGCCGAGGGAAAGUGCCACAGAAAGCAAACCGCCUCCCCUCGCGGGAGGUAAGGGUGAAAGGGUGGGGUAAGAGCCCACCGCGGGACUGGCGACAGGACCGGCACGGUAAACCCCGCCCGGAGCAAGACCGAAUAGGGGGCGCGUAUGGGCCGUUUUCCGCCCGCGCCCCGGGUGUGUCGCGUGAGGUGCCUGGCAACAGGCAUCCCAGAGGAAUGGCUGCCAGACCUGAGCAAUCAGGCGAACAGAACCCGGCUUACAGGCCGUCUGGUCUU
Molecule: RNase P RNA, 372 nt
Filed under: Hyphomonas sp.
Lineage: Bacteria; Pseudomonadati; Pseudomonadota; Alphaproteobacteria; Hyphomonadales; Hyphomonadaceae
Description: RNase P RNA component class A
Rfam family: Bacterial RNase P class A
About the family: Ribonuclease P (RNase P) is a ubiquitous endoribonuclease, found in archaea, bacteria and eukarya as well as chloroplasts and mitochondria. Its best characterised activity is the generation of mature 5'-ends of tRNAs by cleaving the 5'-leader elements of precursor-tRNAs.
Source: RNAcentral